Molecule: ribosomal RNA, 381 nt
Filed under: uncultured Corynebacterium sp.
Lineage: Bacteria; Bacillati; Actinomycetota; Actinomycetes; Mycobacteriales; Corynebacteriaceae
Description: bacterial SSU rRNA
Rfam family: Bacterial small subunit ribosomal RNA
Source: RNAcentral
UACGUAGGGUGCGAGCGUUGUCCGGAAUUACUGGGCGUAAAGAGCUCGUAGGUGGUUUGUCGCGUUGUUCGUGAAAUCUCACGGCUUAACUGUGAGCGUGCGGGCGAUACGGGCAGACUUGAGUACUGUAGGGGUAACUGGAAUUCCUGGUGUAGCGGUGAAAUGCGCAGAUAUCAGGAGGAACACCGAUGGCGAAGGCAGGUUACUGGGCAGUUACUGACGCUGAGGAGCGAAAGCAUGGGUAGCGAACAGGAUUAGAUACCCUGGUAGUCCAUGCCGUAAACGGUGGGCGCUAGGUGUGAGGGUCUUUCUACGACUUUCGUGCCGUAGCUAACGCAUUAAGCGCCCCGCCUGGGGAGUACGGCCGCAAGGCUAAAACUC